This 696-nucleotide ribosomal RNA is filed under the name uncultured bacterium. RNAcentral describes it as "bacterial SSU rRNA". It matches the Rfam family "Bacterial small subunit ribosomal RNA", at positions 32 to 715 of the family's 1533-position model. The record is from RNAcentral.
AACGCUAGCUACAGGCUUAACACAUGCAAGUCGAGGGGAAACGACAUCGAAAGCUUGCUUUUGGUGGGCGUCGACCGGCGCACGGGUGAGUAACGCGUAUCCAACCUGCCCACCACUUGGGGAUAACCUUGCGAAAGUAAGACUAAUACCCAAUGAUAUCUCUAGAAGACAUCUGAAGGAGAUUAAAGAUUCAUCGGUGAUGGAUGGGGAUGCGUCUGAUUAGCUUGUUGGUGGGGUAACGGCCCACCAAGGCAACGAUCGGUAGGGGUUCUGAGAGGAAGGUCCCCCACAUUGGAACUGAGACACGGUCCAAACUCCUACGGGAGGCAGCAGUGAGGAAUAUUGGUCAAUGGGCGAGAGCCUGAACCAGCCAAGUAGCGUGCAGGAUGACGGCCCUAUGGGUUGUAAACUGCUUUUAUGCGGGGAUAAAGUGUACCAUGUAUGGUGUUUUGCAGGUACCGCAUGAAUAAGGACCGGCUAAUUCCGUGCCAGCAGCCGCGGUAAUACGGAAGGUCCGGGCGUUAUCCGGAUUUAUUGGGUUUAAAGGGAGCGUAGGCCGUUUUUUAAGCGUGUUGUGAAAUGCCGCGGCUCAACCGUGGCACUGCAGCGCGAACUGGAUGACUUGAGUGCGCGGGAGGUAGGCGGAAUUCGUGGUGUAGCGGUGAAAUGCUUAGAUAUCACGAAGAACUCCGAUUG